RNAcentral lists this ribosomal RNA (459 nucleotides) under uncultured bacterium. RNAcentral describes it as "partial 16S ribosomal RNA". It matches the Rfam family "Bacterial small subunit ribosomal RNA", at positions 338 to 795 of the family's 1533-position model. The record is from RNAcentral.
CCUACGGGAGGCAGCAGUGAGGAAUUUUGGUCAAUGGGCGCGAGCCUGAACCAGCCAAGUAGCGUGAAGGAUGACUGCCCUACGGGUUGUAACCUCUUUUAUAAAGGGAUUAAGUGAGGCAAGUGUGCCUUUUUGUAUGUACUUUAUCAAUAAGGAUCGGCUAACUCCGUGCCAACAGCCGCGGUAAUACGGAGGAUCCGAGCGUUAUCCGGAUUUAUUGGGUUUAAAGGGAGCGUAGAUGGGUUGUUAAGGCAGUUGUGAAAGUUUGCGGCUCAACCGUAAAAUUGCAAUUGAUACGGGCAGUCUUGAGUACAGUUGAGGUAGGCGGAAUGCGUGGUGUAGCGGUGAAAUGCUUAGAUAUCACGAAGAACUCCGAUUGCGAAGGCAGCUUACUAAACUGCCACUUACAUUGAUGCUCGAAAGUGUGGGUAUCAAACAGGAUUAGAUACCCCAGUAGUC